Transfer RNA from Cavia porcellus (domestic guinea pig), 61 nucleotides. It matches the Rfam family "tRNA". Rfam says of the family: Transfer RNA (tRNA) molecules are approximately 80 nucleotides in length. Lineage: Eukaryota; Metazoa; Chordata; Mammalia; Rodentia; Caviidae. The record is from Rfam.
GGGGAUUUAGCUCAGCGGCAUAAGCACCUGCCUUGCAAGCAGGCAGUGAAUUCAACCCCCG